Molecule: unclassified non-coding RNA, 348 nt
Filed under: soil metagenome
Description: partial contains 5.8S ribosomal RNA, internal transcribed spacer 2, and large subunit ribosomal RNA
Rfam family: 5.8S ribosomal RNA (bases 1-120)
Source: RNAcentral
GAUGAAGAACGUAGCGAAAUGCGAUAAGUAAUGUGAAUUGCAGAAUUCAGUGAAUCAUCGAAUCUUUGAACGCACAUUGCGCCCGCCAGUAUUCUGGCGGACAUGCCUGUCUGAGCGUCAUUUCAACCCUCAUGCCCCUAGGGCGUGGUGUUGGGGAUCGGCCAAAGCCCGCGAGGGACGGCCGGCCCCUAAAUCUAGUGGCGGACCCGUCGUGGCCUCCUCUGCGAAGUAGUGAUAUUCCGCAUCGGAGAGCGACGAGCCCCUGCCGUUAAACCCCCAACUUUCCAAGGUUGACCUCAGAUCAGGUAGGAAUACCCGCUGAACUUAAGCAUAUCAAUAAGCGGAGGA